CCUACGGGGGGCAGCAGUGGGGAAUAUUGGACAAUGGGGGGAACCCUGAUCCAGCCAUGCCGCGUGUGUGAAGAAGGCCCUCGGGUUGUAAAGCACUUUCAGUGAGGAAGAACGCCUGGUGGUUAAUACCCAUCAGGAAAGACAUCACUCACAGAAGAAGCACCGGCUAACUCCGUGCCAGCAGCCGCGGUAAUACGGAGGGUGCGAGCGUUAAUCGGAAUUACUGGGCGUAAAGCGCGCGUAGGUGGCUUGAUAAGCCGGUUGUGAAAGCCCCGGGCUCGACCUGGGAACGGCAUCCGGAACUGUCAAGCUAGAGUGCAGGAGAGGAAGGUAGAAUUCCCGGUGUAGCGGUGAAAUGCGUAGAGAUCGGGAGGAAUACCAGUGGCGAAGGCGGCCUUCUGGACUGACACUGACACUGAGGUGCGAAAGCGUGGGUAGCAAACAGGAUUAGAUACCCCGGUAGUC
RNAcentral lists this ribosomal RNA (465 nucleotides) under Vreelandella stevensii. RNAcentral describes it as "partial 16S ribosomal RNA". It matches the Rfam family "Bacterial small subunit ribosomal RNA", at positions 338 to 795 of the family's 1533-position model. Lineage: Bacteria; Pseudomonadati; Pseudomonadota; Gammaproteobacteria; Oceanospirillales; Halomonadaceae. The record is from RNAcentral.